AGUGAACGCUGGCGGUAGGCCUAACACAUGCAAGUCGAACGGCAGCACAGUAAGAGCUUGCUCUUACGGGUGGCGAGUGGCGGACGGGUGAGGAAUACAUCGGAAUCUACUUUUUCGUGGGGGAUAACGUAGGGAAACUUACUCUAAUACCGCAUACGACCUACGGGUGAAAGCAGGGGAUCUUCGGACCUUGCGCGAUUGAAUGGGCCGAUGUCGGAUUAGCUAGUUGGCGGGGUAAAGGCCCACCAAGUCGACGAUCCGUAGCUGGUCUGAGAGGAUGAUCAGCCGCACUGGAACUGAGACACGGUCCAGACUCCUACGGGAGGCAGCAGUGGGGAAUAUUGGACAAUGGGCGCAAGCCUGAUCCAGCCAUACCGCGUGGGUGAAGAAGGCCUUCGGGUUGUAAAGCCCUUUUGUUGGGAAAGAAAAGCAGCAGGUUAAUACCCCGCUGUUCUGACGGUAACCAAAGAAUAAGCACCGGCUAACUUCGUG
This 492-nucleotide ribosomal RNA is filed under the name uncultured bacterium. RNAcentral describes it as "partial 16S ribosomal RNA". It matches the Rfam family "Bacterial small subunit ribosomal RNA", at positions 29 to 507 of the family's 1533-position model. The record is from RNAcentral.